RNAcentral lists this ribosomal RNA (253 nucleotides) under uncultured bacterium. RNAcentral describes it as "partial 16S ribosomal RNA". It matches the Rfam family "Bacterial small subunit ribosomal RNA", at positions 524 to 776 of the family's 1533-position model. The record is from RNAcentral.
GACAGAGGGUGCAACCGUUGCUCGGAAUCACUGGGCGUAAAGGGCGCGUAGGCGGGGAUGUAAGUCGGGCGUGAAAUCCCCAGGCUCAACCUGGGAACUGCACUCGAAACUGCGUUUCUUGAGUAUCGGAGAGGAAAGCGGAAUUCCUGGUGUAGAGGUGAAAUUCGUAGAUAUCAGGAGGAACACCAGUGGCGAAGGCGGCUUUCUGGACGGUAACUGACGCUGAGGCGCGAAAGCGUGGGGAGCAAACAGG